RNAcentral lists this long non-coding RNA (1048 nucleotides) under Apteryx haastii (Great spotted kiwi). RNAcentral describes it as "lncRNA (ENSAHAG00000005367.1)". The stretch from base 642 to 721 matches the Rfam family "mir-17 microRNA precursor family". The record is from RNAcentral. Lineage: Eukaryota; Metazoa; Chordata; Aves; Apterygiformes; Apterygidae.
GUAGGGUGCGUGUUGGGGUUAUGGGAUUGGCCCCAGGGCCGGGGUGGGAGCUGUGGGGCAACGCGUGGGAGCCGUGGGGCAGCUCCAGCACCUGCCCCCCAACCUGCCUCUGCCCCCCAGGCUGGCCCAGCACAUCACCUACGUGCACCAGCACAGCCGGCAGCCACCCUGCUCCUUCCAGCAGCUCGACAUGAAGCUCAUGAGGCGCUACAUCGCCAUGUGCAAGCGGAAGCAGCCGGCGGUGCCCGAGGCUUUGGCCGACUACAUCACGGCCGCCUACGUGGAGAUGCGCAAGGAGGCCUGGGCCAACAAGGACACCACCUACACCUCCGCCCGCACCUUGCUGGGCAUCCUGCGCCUGGCCACCGCCCUGGUGAGCCCCCGCCGCCGCCGCCACCGCCGCCCGGAGAGGGGGGUGAACCGAGGCGCGAGCGGCCCGGAGCGAGAGCCGGACGGACCUACGGAGUGGGACGGAGGUGGCGCCAAGCCCGGCAAGACCAGGCUGCGGUGAAGCGAGGUGGAAACGGGCAGGAUGAGUCCAGGCGGAGUAGGGAGGGAGGCCGUGGUGCCACGGAGCUGCAGCGGCCGUCGGGCCACCGGGCCGCAUCCGUGUCCCCCCCCCCCACCUCCCUCGACGAGCCCCGGGGGCCCCAAAGUGCUGUUUGUGCAGGUAGUGUGUGUGCGGCGUCUACUGCCGAGGCAGCACUCCAGAGCCCCCGGGGCACGGCCGGCACCGGGACGGCUCCCGGCAUCCCGUCCGGGGACGCAGCCAGCACCAGCACGGCUCCCGGCAUCCCUCGGCGUCCCCUGUCCCGUCCAGGGACGCGGCCGGCACCGGGACGGCUCCUGGCAUCCCUCGGCGUCCCCCGUCCCAUCCGGGGACGCAGCUGGCACCAGGACAGCUCCUGGCAUCCCAUCCAGGGACGGGGACGGCUCCCGGCGUCCCUUCUGGGGACGUGGCCAGCGCUGGCACGGCUCCCAGCAUCCCUUCCGGAGGAACGGCCGGCACUGGGACGGCUCCUGGCAUCCCAUCUGGGGAUGCAGCUGG